This 66-nucleotide transfer RNA is filed under the name Reticulitermes tibialis. Its description in RNAcentral is "tRNA-Asp". RNAcentral also lists the same sequence under 3 other names. The record is from RNAcentral. Lineage: Eukaryota; Metazoa; Arthropoda; Insecta; Blattodea; Rhinotermitidae.
AAAGGAUUAGUUAAUGUUAUAAUAUCAGAAUGUCAAACUGAAGUAAUCAAUAAAUGAUACCCUUUU